ACUGCCAAGAGUCAAUGCAAGAGUCCCACUCCCACCUAGGCUUGCAGACAAGGGCCUCAAACUGGAAGCUCCCCAACGACAUACUGCUGCCAAUAGCCUCCGAUCUAGGGAUUCUCUCCAUGAUGAAAAGAUUGCUGCUAAUAGCCUCCGUCGAUUUAGGAAUUCUUCUCCCCCUAAUGAAAUGGCCGCUACUACUUCUCUGAAUCUGCCACCAAUUGUCAUCAUCAUCAGCAUCAGCGCUGGCAUAGGGUACAAAGAGAGAGAAGGGCGUCCACUUGGGCACGUGGAGACUGGGCACCAUCACGCGCGUCUCCACGUCGAAGACGAAGGAACGACCCAACCGCCUAGAGCAGAGGCGGAGCUCCCCAUAUGGCAGGGUGGGGCACCUGCCCCAGCUACUCCAGGUAGAAAGCUCCUAGUACCCUCUCCUCUUCCUCAAGCACGGCAUGGUCGCGAUAAGCAGAGGUGCAGCGUCCGGCCUCCGGCCUCCGGUGGCGCGGCUGAAACUCAUUUUUAAAAGAGGGUUGUGCAAAUGAACGCCAAAGUCCCAAUAAGACCGAGCCCAUCAGCCUAUUAAUUGUCCACCACAUCAGGAAAUCACCAGUUGGCUUAAUCCCUAAUCCCCUGACUUCCUGAGCUCCAAUGACACAUGGGCGACAGUGAUCCCCAUCAGGCACUCAGGUCGUCGCCCCGCUGCAUAUCACUGCAUAAGGCUGCAGCCACGCGCCCAAGCCACUCCUAGCGUGUCAUCGUCGUCGCCGACCUAGCAGCAGUGCGUCGAAGCUCCUUGCUGUCGCCCACUGGUGACCUAUGCCGCUCUGAUGCGACACGUUGUCCCGAUCUUCACGACGUAGGAUGAACACCGAUAACUAGCUGAAGAACAGCCGGAUAACUUGCUGCAAGCAGCGAUAACUAGUGCAACCUGGCAAAUAAAACUCGAAGCCAACCACCGUCUUUAACCGGCAACCUGAAUCGAGGAUUCGCCCAACCACACUCUCAAAGAACCAACCAACACAGCCUACAAUCAAUCAAGGAAUACCUUGAAGAGAGUAGGAGCACCAAUUGGGAGCGGAUGAAGCCGCCGCCUAUGUAAUCCCGCGAGGAAAUCACAAGAGCAAAGGGGUAGAGAUCACUCUCUGAAUUUGUUAGCACGCAGCUGAACAAAGGGGUUCUGUAUUUCAAUUAUCAAAGCCUGAGAUUACAAUGAGUCUUAGGGGGUAUUUAUACUAGCAACAGCCCUGCUAGAUAGGUAUGAAAACGAAAUAGAGUUUCUGAGGGAAGGCAAUGUGAAAGGUCCCCUCGAAAUGGAUUCCCGAAGUGGCUUCGCGUGACUGUUGGCCUCCAGAGCAGUUUCCAAUAAACUGGCCAUAACUUUUUAUUGGGAAGUCCAAAUGAUGAACCGUUUCUUGGGUGUGAAACUAGACUCCAAGAGCUUUCCAGAAAUGUAUGCCAUGCACCACAAAACAUUGUAGAUUGGUACAGUUUUACUUGGCAAGUUGUACCAUCAUUCUGUCACGACAGACUGUUGACCUUCUGAAUAGUCUGUACAAUUCUGGUCUAGAGGCAAUAUGGGGUGUCCACACCGGUCGCCACUAGAUUCAUUGGAAAGUAGACUCGUCAAGCUUUCCAACAAUUGCUCAUGGACCUUCAUAGCUUUUGUGAGUAAAAAGUUAUGAAGAUUUCUUUCACUGGUCCGUCUUUGACUUCCACUGGUCCGUUUUUUACUUCUUCUGGAACUUGCACUGGUCCAUUCUUCAGGGUCCGAUUCAUCCUUCUCUUCUUCUAUAUACCUGAGUACAAUCAAAGUACAAUACUUAGGUAGUAUAUAAUUCUCAUUAAUGUAAAAAAUGAAUCUCACAAAGUAGCGCGUGGACCUCUUGUUGUAGCUUCUUUGCACGACUACGUGUAAUCGGUCCAUCGAUGACUUGAGCUGGUGUCGGUGUAGGUGAAACUUGAGUGAGUGUGGCUUGACUUGGAGCUUGUGACAUUUUGGUUGGUGGCAUGGUCAUAUUACGCUCCCUGCUGGCCACCGGUGCCUCUCGAUGCCGACUGCACAGUGUUGCCGCCCGCCGAUGCCCCUUGUUGGCUUGUGCCGCACUAGUGUGCAGGGAAGCUGCUCCUCGCCGACACCCUAUGCCUAUUCUACUUGUUCUAGCUUCUGCUAGACCACACGAGUCCUAGAAGAAUCGAGGUGCUGCUACCAAUC
This 2206-nucleotide long non-coding RNA is filed under the name Sorghum bicolor (sorghum). Its description in RNAcentral is "long non-coding RNA (SBIC_LNC007433)". The record is from RNAcentral. Lineage: Eukaryota; Viridiplantae; Streptophyta; Magnoliopsida; Poales; Poaceae.